UCUCUGUCCCUGAGACCCUUAACCUGUGAGGAAGCCCAGAGGUCACAGGUGAGGUUCUUGGGAACUGAG
Non-coding RNA from Podarcis lilfordi (Lilford's wall lizard), 69 nucleotides. The record is from the annotation of a GenBank genome assembly. NCBI's taxonomy places the organism in Eukaryota, Metazoa, Chordata, Lepidosauria, Squamata, Lacertidae.